RNAcentral lists this ribosomal RNA (396 nucleotides) under uncultured bacterium. RNAcentral's name for it is "bacterial SSU rRNA". It matches the Rfam family "Bacterial small subunit ribosomal RNA", at positions 505 to 898 of the family's 1533-position model. The record is from RNAcentral.
GUGUCAGCAGCCGCGGUAAGACGAACCGUCCAAACGUUAUUCGGAGUCACUGGGCUUAAAGGGCGCGUAGGCGGCCGAGCGGGUCACGGGUGAAAUCCCCCAGCUUAACUGGGGAACUGCCCUUGAUACCACUGCGGCUCGAGGAAGGGAGGGGCAAUCGGAACUGUCGGUGGAGCGGUGAAAUGCGUUGAUAUCGACAGGAACGCCGGUGGCGAAAGCGGAUUGCUGGUCCUUUUCUGACGCUGAGGCGCGAAAGCCAGGGGAGCAAACGGGAUUAGAUACCCCGGUAGUCCUGGCCUUAAACGAUGUCGACUGGAUGUUGGGCACACUUUGGUGCUCAGUAUCGAAGCUAACGCGUUAAGUCGACCGCCUGGGGAGUAUGCGCGCAAGCGUGAA